RNAcentral lists this transfer RNA (92 nucleotides) under Actinomycetes bacterium. RNAcentral describes it as "tRNA-Ser". It matches the Rfam family "tRNA". From Rfam's summary of the family: Transfer RNA (tRNA) molecules are approximately 80 nucleotides in length. Their secondary structure includes four short double-helical elements and three loops (D, anti-codon, and T loops). Lineage: Bacteria; Bacillati; Actinomycetota; Actinomycetes. The record is from RNAcentral.
GGAGAGAUGGCUGAGUGGCUGAAGGCGCACGCUUGGAAAGCGUGUAGGUGGCGUUAGCCGCCUCGAGGGUUCGAAUCCCUCUCUCUCCGCCA